RNAcentral lists this ribosomal RNA (468 nucleotides) under uncultured bacterium. RNAcentral's name for it is "partial 16S ribosomal RNA". It matches the Rfam family "Bacterial small subunit ribosomal RNA", at positions 28 to 507 of the family's 1533-position model. The record is from RNAcentral.
GACGAACGCUGGCGGCGUGCUUAACGCAUGCAAGUCGAACGGAAAGGCCCUGCUUUUGUGGGGUGCUCGAGUGGCGAACGGGUGAGUAACACGUGAGUAACCUGCCCUUGACUUUGGGAUAACUUCAGGAAACUGGGGCUAAUACCGGAUAGGAGCUCCUGCUGCAUGGUGGGGGUUGGAAAGUUUCGGCGGUUGGGGAUGGACUCGCGGCUUAUCAGCUUGUUGGUGGGGUAGUGGCUUACCAAGGCUUUGACGGGUAGCUGGCCUGAGAGGGUGACCGGCCACAUUGGGACUGAGAUACGGCCCAGACUCCUACGGGAGGCAGCAGUGGGGAAUAGUGCACAAUGGGAGGAAGCCUGAUGCAGCAACGCCGCGUGCGGGAUGACGGCCUUCGGGUUGUAAACCGCUUUCGCCUGUGACGAAGCGUGAGUGACGGUAAUGGGUAAAGAAGCACCGGCUAACUACGUG